GUCCACGCCCUAAACGAUGUCAACUAGUUGUCGGGACUUAAUUGUCUUGGUAACGCAGCUAACGCGUGAAGUUGACCGCCUGGGGAGUACGGUCGCAAGAUUAAAACUCAAAGGAAUUGACGGGGACCCGCACAAGCGGUGGAUGAUGUGGAUUAAUUCGAUGCAACGCGAAAACCUUACCUACCCUUGACAUGGUUCAAAGUUUCCAGAGAUGGAGAUGUGCUCGCAAGAGAAUGAAUACACAGGUGCUGCAUGGCUGUCGU
Molecule: ribosomal RNA, 263 nt
Filed under: uncultured bacterium
Lineage: Bacteria
Description: partial 16S ribosomal RNA
Rfam family: Bacterial small subunit ribosomal RNA
Source: RNAcentral